GAGGUGACUGUGAUGAGUUGCACUAUUAGCCAGGCUGCUGUUUGCAGUGGCACAGCAGGCCUGACCUGACUCCUAUGUGUUGACAACCUAUUGUGCACAGGGGCCAUCUGAGUCACC
This 117-nucleotide small nucleolar RNA is filed under the name Cyprinodon variegatus (sheepshead minnow). RNAcentral describes it as "Small nucleolar RNA SNORD67 (ENSCVAG00000007555.1)". It matches the Rfam family "Small nucleolar RNA SNORD67". From Rfam's summary of the family: snoRNA HBII-166 belongs to the C/D family of snoRNAs. The record is from Rfam by way of RNAcentral. Lineage: Eukaryota; Metazoa; Chordata; Actinopteri; Cyprinodontiformes; Cyprinodontidae.